This 1048-nucleotide long non-coding RNA is filed under the name Helianthus annuus (common sunflower). The record is from RNAcentral. Lineage: Eukaryota; Viridiplantae; Streptophyta; Magnoliopsida; Asterales; Asteraceae.
GAAAAGCAAGGAGACCAUCGAUUCCUAAACAAAAAACGAACCCUAAAUCGAUCCUCGCCAUAUGCCUCCCACCGCCACCACCACUUCUCGUCGUCGCCUUCCAUCCUAUCGACAUCAUACAGAAGCACUGUUCAGAUCUUGAAUGUCAAUCGAUUCUAGAAGAAAUCAAUCGAGCUGAAACCCCUGGGAGAAAACGUCGUAUACAUUAAUUUAUGUAUCAUUAUAUAAUUCUCAUGUAUUUGUAUCAAUAUAUCAGGAUCUAUACCGAUUAUUGGGAGAAAAUGUCGCUAAUUAUGAAUCGAUCUUAUGAAGGAACAACUCUCCACUUUUCGUUCUCAGAUACUUGGCUCGCAAACACAAGGUAAUGAUAUCAUGAAGAAUCCUGCUUUUAGAUCACUGUUUCAUGAGAUGUGUGCAAAAGUAAGGGGUGGAUCCGCUAGCGUCGAAUAAAGGUUUUUGGGCCGAGCCGUUGGGAAUUGGUGAUUUCUAUUAUGAGCUUGGUAAUGAUCUUGUUUAAGAUGUGAAUCUUGUCAUUUCACUGUCAAAUUGAAUUUUAUACUCUGAGAAUGCUUAUUAAAACCUCUACGAGUAAGAACUGAAGAAGGUGAUGGUAAUGAUAAGAAAAUGAAAAAUGGCGUCUGAAACUACUUACCAGAAGCACUAGCUAUAGAGGAGAUGUCGUUAACGAGAAAAGUGGAGAUGAAAGGUCGAUAAGGAUGAUUCAUGUCACACCCCGAAAUAUCAGAGCUGGCGUGACUGGACUGGUAUCUUCAUUGCACAGCGGAAGCAAAUAAGCUAAGACUCCUAGAAAAUGAACGCCACUAAGUACUCGAAUUCUCAUGGGUUCUCCUAUUCCAACCGUUCCAUAGUUUUGAAAAUGCAACCUGAGAAAGAACAUGCGAAAAAAGUCAACAUAAAGUUGAACGAGUUCAUAGUUUGUUUUGAAAAAGAUUUUAAACAAAUCCUUUUGUUUACCGGUUUAAAAGUUGUGGAGAAAAUUUAGUAAAAAUCAUUUUCUCGGCAUGAUAUAUGAAAAGUGUGAGUCUAG